RNAcentral lists this ribosomal RNA (465 nucleotides) under uncultured bacterium. Its description in RNAcentral is "partial 16S ribosomal RNA". It matches the Rfam family "Bacterial small subunit ribosomal RNA", at positions 28 to 507 of the family's 1533-position model. The record is from RNAcentral.
GAUGAACGCUGGCGGCGUGCUUAACACAUGCAAGUCGAACGGAAAGGCUCCUGCUUGCAGGGGUACUCGAGUGGCGAACGGGUGAGUAACACGUGGGUGAUCUGCCCUGCACUUCGGGAUAAGCCUGGGAACCUGGGUCUAAUACCGGAUAGGACGAUGGUUUGGAUGCCAUUGUGGAAAGUUUUUCGGUGUGGGAUGAGCUCGCGGCCUAUCAGCUUGUUGGUGGGGUAAUGGCCUACCAAGGCGUCGACGGGUAGCCGGCCUGAGAGGGUGUACGGCCACAUUGGGACUGAGAUACGGCCCAGACUCCUACGGGAGGCAGCAGUGGGGAAUAUUGCACAAUGGGCGCAAGCCUGAUGCAGCGACGCCGCGUGGGGGAUGACGGCCUUCGGGUUGUAAACUCCUUUCGCUAGGGACGAAGCGCAAGUGACGGUACCUGGAGAAGAAGCACCGGCUAACUACGUG